Molecule: ribosomal RNA, 460 nt
Filed under: uncultured bacterium
Lineage: Bacteria
Description: partial 16S ribosomal RNA
Rfam family: Bacterial small subunit ribosomal RNA
Source: RNAcentral
CCUACGAGUGGCAGCAGUGGGGAAUAUUGGUCAAUGGACGCAAGUCUGAACCAGCCAUGCCGCGUGCAGGAAGACGGCUCUAUGAGUUGUAAACUGCUUUUGUACGAGGGUAAACGCAGAUACGCGUAUCUGUCUGCAAGUAUCGUACGAAUAAGGAUCUGCUAACUCCGUGCCAGCAGCCGCGGUAAUACGUAGGAUUCAAGCGUUAUACGGAUUUAUUGGGUUUAAGGGGUGCGUAGGCGGUCGGUUAAGUUAGAGGUGAAAUCCCGAGACUCAACUUCGGAAUUGCCUCUGAUACUGUUCGGCUAGAGAGUAGUUGCGGUAGGCGGAAUGUAUGGUGUAGCGGGGAAAUGCUUAGAGAUCAGACAGAACACCGAUUGCGAAGGCAGAUUACCAAGCUACGUCUGACGUUGAGGCACGAAAGCGUGGGGAGCAAACAGGAUUAGAUACCCUUGUAGUC